This 3205-nucleotide small RNA is filed under the name Pan troglodytes (chimpanzee). Its description in RNAcentral is "retained intron". Lineage: Eukaryota; Metazoa; Chordata; Mammalia; Primates; Hominidae. The record is from RNAcentral.
AGUUGCAGCGGCCGGGGAAGAUGGUGGAGGACGGCGCGGAGGAGCUGGAGGAUCUGGUGCACUUCUCCGUGUCUGAGUUGCCUAGUCGCGGCUACGGCGUCAUGGAGGAGAUCCGGCGGCAGGGCAAGCUGUGCGACGUGACCCUCAAGAUUGGGGACCACAAAUUCAGUGCCCACCGGAUUGUCUUAGCAGCCUCGAUCCCGUAUUUCCAUGCUAUGUUUACAAAUGACAUGAUGGAGUGCAAGCAGGAUGAGAUUGUAAUGCAAGGAAUGGACCCAAGUGCCCUGGAGGCUCUGAUCAACUUUGCCUACAACGGCAACCUUGCCAUUGACCAGCAAAAUGUCCAGUCAUUGCUGAUGGGGGCGAGCUUCCUGCAGCUGCAGAGCAUCAAAGACGCCUGCUGCACAUUCCUUCGAGAACGGCUUCACCCAAAAAACUGCCUGGGUGUGCGCCAGUUUGCUGAGACAAUGAUGUGUGCUGUGCUGUACGACGCUGCCAACAGCUUCAUCCACCAGCACUUUGUGGAGGUGUCCAUGUCGGAAGAGUUCCUGGCCCUGCCCUUGGAAGACGUGCUUGAGCUGGUGUCUCGGGAUGAGCUGAAUGUCAAAUCUGAGGAGCAGGUCUUUGAAGCUGCAUUGGCCUGGGUCAGAUACGACCGGGAGCAGAGGGGUCCCUACCUGCCUGAGCUGCUGUCCAAUAUCCGCCUGCCCCUCUGUCGGCCCCAGUUCCUUUCAGACAGAGUACAGCAGGAUGACCUGGUGCGUUGCUGCCACAAAUGCAGGGACCUGGUAGACGAAGCAAAGGACUACCACCUCAUGCCAGAGCGCCGGCCCCACCUGCCAGCUUUCAGAACCCGGCCACGCUGCUGCACAUCCAUCGCUGGACUUAUCUACGCUGUAGGGGGCCUCAACUCAGCAGGUGAUUCCCUGAAUGUGGUGGAAGUGUUCGACCCUAUUGCCAAUCGCUGGGAGAGAUGCCGUCCCAUGACAACAGCCCGCAGCCGCGUUGGCGUGGCUGUGGUGAAUGGGCUUCUCUAUGCCAUUGGAGGAUAUGACGGCCAGCUACGGCUGAGCACUGUCGAGGCCUACAACCCGGAGACAGACACAUGGACCAGAGUGGGGAGCAUGAAUAGCAAGAGAAGGUAUUCUGGAAGCCACGUGCAGCCCGAACAUAUACACUGAGCACCUGGGGAGCGCCAUGCUAGACGAGCAGGGGCACACAGUAGAGUAAAAUACAAGCUUUGGCCUGGGAGUUUCCUGCAGCCAGGCCAGCCACUGCCAGUACCUCCUGGAGCGAGCCCCCAUCUGCUUAAAAGUAAAAUAUCCACCUUGUCCUUUGGGGAACUUGGGGAAACCAGGCGCGGACAUGUGGAAGUUGUGUUGUUAUUUUAAGUGCCAGAUAAGGACUGGAAAUGUGUAUUAUGGAAGAUUCGAAGAGGGAGAGAAACUGGACUGGAACUUCUGGAAGAUUUCAGGGAAGAGGUGGGAUUAAAGUUGAAACUUGAAGAAUAAGGAGGAUUUACCUUUAUUAGUGAUAAAAGGAAAUCCAAGGUGUUUUUCUGUGUACCUUCCUUCCCCAGGACUCCCCUCACACAUGCACUUCCACUACCUGGGGAGAAUACGAACCAAAGCAAUGUUCUUUUAUUUAGGUCACACACAUUCUCCCAGACAGGAGCACAUAGGUAUUUGCAAGGUGGGCCAAGUCGAUAUGUCACUCAGUACAUUCUAGCUACCUGCUCUCUCCACUUCUCUGCUUAUAUUGUCUGAAUAAGAAGUGGGAUUAGAAGACAUCCCAGUGCCUUUGUUUAGCCCUUCUUACUGCUGAGGUGACAGGUGGCAUGUUUCAUUAUGUCAGACACGUGAUGGAGUCAUCACAUGUGUGGGCAGCUGAAAAGCUGGCGCAGCCCAAGGAGGGGAGAGGAAAGCUGCCCAGGGCCCCCUGGCCGUUACCCAGGACAGCUCUGCACUGAUUGCUUUUACACAUUGAGCUUCCUUGAUAUAUGCCUAAUGUUGUUCCACAUCCAGCAGCGUUCGCAUGUGGAUGUGAGCUGGGAGGGAUCUGCCUUUGUACUGGUGAGACCAGUUCACAAAGCAUCGGAGUAGGUUCCUUUGGGAAGAAAAAAAUACGUAAGAUCUGCCCCUCCCAAGAACGCAUUGAGAGUCCUUUCCUCCCACCAUCCCCACUUUUGCUCCUUGGAUACUUUGCAGCUUCCUAUGUUUGAGUGACUCAUUGCUCCAUGUCCCCAACCAUGAGUAGCUUUUUUGCUUUGACUGCAGUCAGCUGUCCUUCCUUGUGUGUCUGCUCUGGACCACUUCCUUGCUUUGAUGUUACUGGGUUUAGAGGGCUGUCUUGGAGGAAAGUUCUCUGGGUAUUCCUUUCCUUCACUGUGGUUAAUAUCCUGUUAUUAGUGUGGGCCCGGUUCCAUUACAUCCCUUUUAAAUUACAGGCUACCUUAAAACGUUCCUAGUCACUUCUCUUCUGACAUCCCACACAGCUGUCUGUUCUGCCAGUUAGUGACAUCCUGCCAUCUUUCCUUCCUAUCUCCCCCAGUGUUCUACGCCAUCCCAUAGAGCUUUCUUACACUGGACUAUUCCAGUCCAUGCUGAUCAGCAUUUUCUCCUUCUCUUCACACUCGCCUUUACCACCUAGUUGAUAGUUAUUCUCAUGCAGUUUUGGGGCACCUCUUAAUUCAUUUUCAUAUUGUUCAACACCUGUUUUGUUAUGUAAUUUUUAUGUUUGUUUUGUGUCCGUAUCCAGAAGGAUAGUGAUCAUGUCUAGUAAAUUUGUGAUCUUCCCACAAUACUUGCCUAAGGCAAGUCCCUCUCCUCUUUCUGGCUGGUUCAGGGGGUCAGUUAUCAUGUCCCUGAAAGGGACAUUCUGUGGAUCAGUUUGAUUACUAUGUACAUUUAAAAGGUAGCAGCAAGCCAGGCGCGGUGGCUCACGCCUAUAAUCCCAGCACUUUGCGAGGCCAAGGAGGGCGGAUCACCUAAGGUCAGGAGUUUGAGACCAGCCUGGCCAACAUGGUGAAACCCUGUCUUUACUAAAAAUACAAAAAUUAGCCAGGCAUGGUGGCGGGCGCCUGUAAUCCCAGCUACUUGGGAGGCUAAGGCAGGGAGAAUUGCUUAAACCGGGGAGGCGGGGGUUGCAAUGAGCUAAGAUCGUGCCACUGCAUUCCAGCCUGGUUGACAGAGUGAGACUCCGUCUC